CGAUCAAAACAGGGAGAAGAAAGGGGGAAAACCCCUUUGAUCUAAAUCAGAGAAAUUGAAAGGAUAAUCAAGGCCAAGCUAAUGCAUGAACCCGAAUUACUGAUCAUCUAAGUUGUUUAUUAAAGUGGUAUAAAGGAAGAAGGUUCGAGCCACUCAAAGCAACAAGGGAAUCAAGACCGAGGUAAAACUCAAGUUUAGGUGGUUAUGCUUCGCUUGGAUCGAACACACUUUGAACUCCAUUCAUGCACUUCCGCAAAUUUUGUAAAACAUGUAAAUGGGUCAAAACACUUUUGUUAAAUGGCUUAUGUUUAGUAGUUAAAUCUUAAACUUUAAUGUGUUUUGUUAUUUUGUA
Molecule: long non-coding RNA, 352 nt
Organism: Helianthus annuus (common sunflower)
Lineage: Eukaryota; Viridiplantae; Streptophyta; Magnoliopsida; Asterales; Asteraceae
Exons: 3
Source: RefSeq, a predicted model, not a curated record